GACGAACGCUGGCGGCGUGCCUAAUACAUGCAAGUAGAACGCUGAAGGAGGAGCUUGCUCUUCUGGAUGAGUUGCGAACGGGUGAGUAACGCGUAGGUAACCUGCCUGGUAGCGGGGGAUAACUAUUGGAAACGAUAGCUAAUACCGCAUAACAGUAGAUGUUGCAUGACAUUUACUUAAAAGGUGCAAUUGCAUCACUACCAGAUGGACCUGCGUUGUAUUAGCUAGUUGGUGGGGUAACGGCUCACCAAGGCGACGAUACAUAGCCGACCUGAGAGGGGGAUCGGCCACACUGGGACUGAGACACGGCCCAGACUCCUACGGGAGGCAGCAGUAGGGAAUCUUCGGCAAUGGACGGAAGUCUGACCGAGCAACGCCGCGUGAGUGAAGAAGGGUUUCGGAUCGUAAAGCUCUGUUGUAAGAGAAGAACGAGUGUGAGAGUGGAAAGUUCACACUGUGACGGUAUCUUACCAGAAAGGGACGGCUAACUACGUG
RNAcentral lists this ribosomal RNA (495 nucleotides) under uncultured bacterium. RNAcentral describes it as "partial 16S ribosomal RNA". It matches the Rfam family "Bacterial small subunit ribosomal RNA", at positions 28 to 507 of the family's 1533-position model. The record is from RNAcentral.